RNAcentral lists this ribosomal RNA (253 nucleotides) under uncultured bacterium. RNAcentral's name for it is "partial 16S ribosomal RNA". It matches the Rfam family "Bacterial small subunit ribosomal RNA", at positions 524 to 776 of the family's 1533-position model. The record is from RNAcentral.
UACGGAGGAUCCAAGCGUUAUCCGGAUUUAUUGGGUUUAAAGGGUGCGUAGGCGGCCUGUUAAGUCAGGGGUGAAAGACGGUAGCUCAACUAUCGCAGUGCCCUUGAUACUGAUGGGCUUGAAUACACUAGAGGUGGGCGGAAUGUGACAAGUAGCGGUGAAAUGCAUAGAUAUGUCACAGAACACCAAUUGCGAAGGCAGCUUACUAUGGUGUCAUUGACGCUGAGGCGCGAAAGCGUGGGGAGCGAACCGG